Molecule: ribosomal RNA, 472 nt
Filed under: uncultured bacterium
Lineage: Bacteria
Description: bacterial SSU rRNA
Rfam family: Bacterial small subunit ribosomal RNA
Source: RNAcentral
UGGGGAAUAUUGGACAAUGGGCGCAAGCCUGAUCCAGCCAUACCGCGUGGGUGAAGAAGGCCUUCGGGUUGUAAAGCCCUUUUGUUGGGAAAGAAAUCCAGCUGGCUAAUACCCGGUUGGGAUGACGGUACCCAAAGAAUAAGCACCGGCUAACUUCGUGCCAGCAGCCGCGGUAAUACGAAGGGUGCAAGCGUUACUCGGAAUUACUGGGCGUAAAGCGUGCGUAGGUGGUCGUUUAAGUCCGUUGUGAAAGCCCUGGGCUCAACCUGGGAACUGCAGUGGAUACUGGACGACUAGAGUGUGGUAGAGGGUAGCGGAAUUCCUGGUGUAGCAGUGAAAUGCGUAGAGAUCAGGAGGAACAUCCAUGGCGAAGGCAGCUACCUGGACCAACACUGACACUGAGGCACGAAAGCGUGGGGAGCAAACAGGAUUAGAUACCCCUGUAGUCCCUGAGCGGGCUGGCAAGGCGCAU